This 76-nucleotide transfer RNA is filed under the name Ruminococcus callidus. Its description in RNAcentral is "tRNA-Pro". It matches the Rfam family "tRNA". Rfam says of the family: Transfer RNA (tRNA) molecules are approximately 80 nucleotides in length. Their secondary structure includes four short double-helical elements and three loops (D, anti-codon, and T loops). Lineage: Bacteria; Bacillati; Bacillota; Clostridia; Eubacteriales; Oscillospiraceae. RNAcentral also lists the same sequence under 1 other name. The record is from RNAcentral.
CUGGGUGUGGCGCAGAUGGUAGCGCGCUACCUUGGGGUGGUAGAGGCCGCCGGUUCAAGUCCGGUCACUCAGACCA